This 960-nucleotide long non-coding RNA is filed under the name Olea europaea subsp. europaea. Lineage: Eukaryota; Viridiplantae; Streptophyta; Magnoliopsida; Lamiales; Oleaceae. The record is from RNAcentral.
UAACUCAUCACUGGCAAGAAUGGCACUUUCCACACAGAACAGGCAAUCGAAUACGGCACCAAAAUGGUAUUUCAUGUCACUUCUCCUCACAUUGUUCGUCCAUAACUGUUUUCCUUUUUUUGCAAGUGAUGCGAAUUUGUAACUUGUUUUUGUGUGUGUGUUGUUAAUGAUUUUGGGUUCUGAUGUUGUCUGUGAAUUCGAAUUCGCCGAGAAAUUUGUAAUUUCUUACCAAGGUACAAAUUUUGACUCUGUAGGGUAGUGAAAAUAGUCUGUUGUAACAUGCGAUGCAUUGCUUGUACCAGUGGAAAAAUGGUUGCUUUACGCAUUAUACUAUAUUUGCACACAUGGGAUAGGAUGCAUUAGAGUGUGGUCACUCGUCUCAUAUAUAACUUACAGGGUUUUUAAAGCCUAAAAUAUGGUAGAAGUACUAAAGCGCUGCUUCUGGUGUCCGUGUGCAUCAAUGUGUAUAUUAAAAAAUUGGAUUUAUCUUUUGAGGAACAUGGAUGCCCGACCCAAAUUUCAUCCCAUACUUUCUCAUUAAUUAAAAUUCUCCUGUAUACGAGUAUUACUUAUCUUGAGACAUUUGAACGUCUUUUGAGCUAUUAAAACUCUCAUAGGAUUAAACAUGCAGUAGAAAAUGGGCCUAAAAGCAGAGAAAACACGAGCAAUGAGAUGGAAUUCAGUAAGUGUAAGGGAAGAAUUCUAUAAAUGUGGAGCCUUUCUUCUCUGCCCCAAGGAAAAUGAAGAUUUUUUAUGCUAAUGCGUUUUUUUUUCCUUAAACCAAAUGGGUUUCUUCCUCAUUCUCUCCCCUCUCGUAAUUUGUGUCUGCUAAUGUAGGUUGGAGGGGUUACCCCUGGAAAGGGUGGAACAGAACACUUGGGACUUCCUGUUUUCAACUCUGUAGCAGAGGCAAAAGCUGAAACAAAACACGUAAUUAGAAAGAUAUGAGUCUGCGUCAUU